UGCGUAGGGGGCAAGCGUUGUCCGGAUUUAUUGGGCGUAAAGAGCGUGUAGGCGGCUUUACAGGUCCGUUGUGAAAACUCGAGGCUCAACCUCGAGACGCCGGUGGAAACCGUAAGGCUAGAGUCCGGAAGAGGAGAGUGGAAUUCCUGGUGUAGCGGUGAAAUGCGCAGAUAUCAGGAGGAACACCCGUGGCGAAAGCGGCUCUCUGGGACGGUACUGACGCUGAGACGCGAAAGCGUGGGGAGCAAACAGG
RNAcentral lists this ribosomal RNA (253 nucleotides) under uncultured bacterium. RNAcentral's name for it is "partial 16S ribosomal RNA". It matches the Rfam family "Bacterial small subunit ribosomal RNA", at positions 524 to 776 of the family's 1533-position model. The record is from RNAcentral.